Molecule: transfer RNA, 76 nt
Filed under: Caldimonas brevitalea
Lineage: Bacteria; Pseudomonadati; Pseudomonadota; Betaproteobacteria; Burkholderiales; Sphaerotilaceae
Description: [Polyangium] brachysporum tRNA-Phe
Rfam family: tRNA
About the family: Transfer RNA (tRNA) molecules are approximately 80 nucleotides in length.
Source: RNAcentral
GGCCUGGUAGCUCAGUUGGUAGAGCAGAGGAUUGAAAAUCCUUGUGUCGGUGGUUCGAUUCCGCCCUAGGCCACCA